UGGUGACCGGACCGACCAUAUUCACGGGACCUUUCCUACUGAUGUUGUGCUCUGAUUUACCAUCUGUUGUCAUCUUUUAAGUUUACGCCCUUAGAACGCAUCGUCUUUUUACUCAUUGUUCAUUAAAACUGGAGCUUGGAGGCUACUUCCUGACUUCGCGUUUUCAUGAAUGGAGUUAGGCUGACUGUUGAAUUGGGUUAGACACACUCAAGGAGGGCAGUACAGGGGGCGUGGUCAAGCGCCGGUCUGUGACAGGAGGGCGGAGUUGGGGAAGGUAAGUGGCAGAAUCGCUACACCUGAGUGUAAUUAACCUGUGUUUUGUGUGUGUUCUCCCCAGUAAACCGCGCCCUAUUUAAGGAGGGAGAGUGAGAGCGGAGGGGAGCUUGCCGAGAGGAGAUUACGGAGUGUGUGUGUGUGGGAAUCUCCGAGUGUUACUUGUUGAGUGCCCGACUGAAAAGUGCGGCAAUAAAAGACGAUAUUUAUCCUGA
Neoarius graeffei (lesser salmon catfish) is the source of this 488-nucleotide long non-coding RNA. RefSeq lists it as uncharacterized. The record is from RefSeq and is a predicted model, not a curated record. The transcript has 2 exons. NCBI's taxonomy places the organism in Eukaryota, Metazoa, Chordata, Actinopteri, Siluriformes, Ariidae.